Molecule: long non-coding RNA, 453 nt
Filed under: Monodelphis domestica (gray short-tailed opossum)
Lineage: Eukaryota; Metazoa; Chordata; Mammalia; Didelphimorphia; Didelphidae
Description: lncRNA (ENSMODG00000043608.1)
Source: RNAcentral
CUUAUUAUUCAAUAGUUUCUGUUUCAUUUUCCUCCUCUAAUAUUGUGAAUUGCAGGUUUUCGAGUGUGGAGUUCCUCUCUCUAUACUGGGAGAUGCUGUGCAUAGAUUUUCUCAAAUUUCCUUGGGACAAAGCAAAGUGAGAAAAUCUCUUUAAGGUGUACUUUGGUCCUCCAUGCCAUGGAUGUCUGACACAAAAUUUAUACAGGAAGUCUCCCUUUCUGCCCCCACAUCCUUACCCUGGAAACAAUCUUGUGGCUUAGAAGGCAAAACAGAGGCCCAGAGACGGGGCUUGUCUUAAAAGAAGCACACAAAGUUCAUUGAGAAGAAUACCAGGAAGGCCAUCCUGCUCUCAAAUAUCUCCCCCAUAGGUCUGAAAUUUACGUAUUAAAUUCAUUUCUUUAAAUCACCUCGUUCCGUCUCCCAAGGUCAUUAAUUAAAUAAGCCUGUAUUAAA